Molecule: long non-coding RNA, 968 nt
Filed under: Linum usitatissimum (flax)
Lineage: Eukaryota; Viridiplantae; Streptophyta; Magnoliopsida; Malpighiales; Linaceae
Description: long non-coding RNA (LUSI_LNC003080)
Source: RNAcentral
GACGCUGCCACUAGGAGAAUCCCAGAUGCCCAAACUGGGAAAACCCUUAUGAUGGAUUUCAGUUCUUCUACUCGAUGCACCGUCGCCAGCCGCCACAGGUUAGGUUUCCCUGAACCAUCUUCGCUUAUCUGUCUUGCAUCUUCCUCUGUCACUAUUGUUGCUUUGUCUAGGCACCUGUUGUCAUCAAUGAAAUGGAGUUAGUUAUAUAUUAUGGUCACUGUAUUGAAAAUCGGAUCUCAAUAACUCUGAAUGGUUGGAAAAAGGUUCAAAAUAGCUUCUAUAGUAUUCAGCCUUUAGAAGAAAUAAUGUUUGGAUAAUUUCAAUAAGUUAUUUGGACAACUUCAAUAAGUUAUAUGUACAAAUGGUAGUUAUCAUGAUUCGAAAUAAAGAUUUUUCGAUUUUUGAAGGCUAUGACGUCAUAUUAUGAACAUUUAUAUCCCAAUAACUUGAGUUGUUGGGAGAGGGUUUAGAUUGACUUCCGUUUGUACGACUUCCGUAAAUAUUCACAAAUUGAGGGGUUACCGGGAUUUUCGAAAUUGGAGGAUUCUCGGAUUUGGUUUGGCAGGUGAAAUGUGGAAUGGAAUUUGGAUGGGAAUGAGAAAGUUAGAUCCAAAAUACACUCCUUUGGGAUGUAAAUUUCCCGGUCGAAUGGAAAAAUGCUCAGGAUUUCAUUCCACAUCCCAACUGACAAAUCAAGCCCGAGGUUUUGAUAUCAUGUCAUGAACCUUUACAUCUCAAUAACUCAAAUUCGGGUGUUCAGUUUUGAUUCUAAUAUUAUUGACCAACAAUCAAGAUUUUACUUGCGUACCUGAACUGAUUGGUGUGCACCAGCCUUCCAUUGACAGAAAUCAGAGCAUCAAGUUGGCGGUUCUGAUACAAAAGUUGAGGGUCUUGGGGAGCUACCGUUUUCCUCUUUUUGAUGGAAGCAAUUAUGACUUGUGCCAAUCUGAUAAGAGGGCUCCCUCCAG